GCUGAAGAGUCCCAUACUAGGACGAAACGGCCGUCC
RNAcentral lists this non-coding RNA (36 nucleotides) under Schistosoma haematobium. The record is from RNAcentral. Lineage: Eukaryota; Metazoa; Platyhelminthes; Trematoda; Strigeidida; Schistosomatidae.